RNAcentral lists this ribosomal RNA (230 nucleotides) under uncultured bacterium. RNAcentral describes it as "partial 16S ribosomal RNA". It matches the Rfam family "Bacterial small subunit ribosomal RNA", at positions 561 to 791 of the family's 1533-position model. The record is from RNAcentral.
UAAAGCGUGCGCAGGCGGUUUUGUAAGACUGUCGUGAAAUCCCCGGGCUCAACCUGGGAAUGGCGAUGGUGACUGCAAGGCUAGAGUUUGGCAGAGGGGGUAGAAUUCCACGUGUAGCAGUGAAAUGCGUAGAUAUGUGGAGGAACACCGAUGGCGAAGGCAGCCCCCUGGGUCAAAACUGACGCUCAUGCACGAAAGCGUGGGGAGCAAACAGGAUUAGAUACCCUUGU